UGGGGUGUCGUCUAAUGGUAGGACAACGGAUUUUGGUUCCGUUUAUUGAGGUUCGAGUCCUUGCACCCCAG
This 71-nucleotide transfer RNA is filed under the name bacterium. RNAcentral describes it as "tRNA-Gln". It matches the Rfam family "tRNA". From Rfam's summary of the family: Transfer RNA (tRNA) molecules are approximately 80 nucleotides in length. Their secondary structure includes four short double-helical elements and three loops (D, anti-codon, and T loops). The record is from RNAcentral. RNAcentral also lists the same sequence under 1 other name.